Molecule: ribosomal RNA, 621 nt
Filed under: Guepinia helvelloides
Lineage: Eukaryota; Fungi; Basidiomycota; Agaricomycetes; Auriculariales
Description: eukaryotic LSU rRNA
Rfam family: Eukaryotic large subunit ribosomal RNA
Source: RNAcentral
AAGCGGAGGAAAAGAAACUAACAAGGAUUCCCCUAGUAACGGCGAGUGAAGAGGGAAGAGCUCAAAUUUGAAAUCUGGCGGUCUACGGCCGUCCGAGUUGUAGUUUAGAGAGGUGUUAUCCGUGGCGGACCGUGUACAAGUCCCUUGGAACGGGGCGUCAUAGAGGGUGAGAAUCCCGUCCAUGACACGGACUACCGUCGCUUUGUGAUGCGCCUUCAAAGAGUCGAGUUGUUUGGGAAUGCAGCUCAAAAUGGGUGGUAAAUUCCAUCUAAAGCUAAAUACAGGCGAGAGACCGAUAGCGAACAAGUACCGUGAGGGAAAGAUGAAAAGCACUUUGGAAAGAGAGUUAAACAGUACGUGAAAUUGUUGAAAGGGAAACGCUUGAAGUCAGUCGCGUCUGCCGGGACUCAGCCUUGCUUCUGCUUGGUGCAUUUCCUGGCAYGAYGGGCCAGCAUCAAUUUUGGCUGUCGGACAAAGGCGGGGGGAAGGUGGCACCUUYGGGUGUGUUAUAGCCCUCCGUUGUAUACGUCGGCUGGGAUUGAGGAUUGCAGCGYGCCCUUGUGGUCGGGGGUUCGCCCCACGCAACGCGCUUAGGAUGCUGGCGUAAUGGCUUUAAACGAC